Non-coding RNA from Anas platyrhynchos (mallard), 901 nucleotides. The record is from RefSeq and is a predicted model, not a curated record. NCBI's taxonomy places the organism in Eukaryota, Metazoa, Chordata, Aves, Anseriformes, Anatidae.
GCUUCCAGGCAGGGGAGGGGCCGCGCUUGGUGGCAAUAAAGGGGCUUUUCCCAAGGGGGGGCGGCCAUGUUGGUGACGGAGCCUGGGAGAGCGCCUGGAAGUUGUCCCCAGAAGGUAGACACGCGCACACCCCCCCCAAAAGGAGAUGCCCAUCUCCUCCGUGGUGCUGAGGCAGCAGCACGUGGAGAGCAAGGGACUGGGCUCCGGUCCUCCAGCGAUGGUUCAGGUUCCGUUGUGAAAGCGCAGCCCAGCAGGAUGGAAAUGGUGCUCUCUUUUUCUCCCCAGCUGCCGUCGCAUCCUCUCCUUUCCCCUCCAGGGAUGUGCAGGUUUUCUCCACGUUGCUCUGAGGGCAGCUUCCCAGCUCUUGUCCCAGCAAGGGGAGGUUCCUGGCUGUGGAGGCCGUGGAGAAGGUCCCUCAGCUGGAAUCAUCCCUGUGAUGGUCCCUGUCCCAGCGCAAGUUUGGGCUGAUUGCAGUGCCACGGCUGGAAAAUCUUCAUGCUCAUGGUGUUUAGACUACGUCGUGGACAGACGAGGAGUUGGUCGUCUCUGGCAAGAGGUCGUUGCGUUUUCCUCCAGUAUCUCGUAGUCUGCUGUCAGAUGGAUUUCUGUGAAGGGAGUGAGACUCUGAGCAAAAACUGCUACAGGUUUUUGGGGCUCUUUGCCCACACGCGGACCCCGUGGAUGGCUUCAGGUCCCGCCAUUUCCCUCCCUCUGCUCACCCCAUCCCCAGACCUGGCCAGCAGCAGGGUUCAGCUCUGCCAGGCCCACCCACAAAGCCCCUCUCUUCCCACCCGGCCUGGAAACCAGCACCCAGCUGCAAACACACACUGUCCUCUCGGGCCAAGAGCAGCCUCCUGCUUUGUUAGGCCUUCUAAAUGCUGCCAAAUAACGUGUGUCUGCA